UAUGGUUAGAUUACCAAUGGUUGGCUUUGGUUUGAUUUCAUCCUUUAUUAAACUUGGUUUUCUGCAAAACAACCAUUCAAAUCAAUCUUGUUUGCAAGUUUACCUUCCAAGUAUGAAUUAUGCAAGUCAAUCCUACAAUCUCAAAAGUCACCCGCAAUACAGUCCUCCCGUGUAGUGAUGACGUGGUACUCGAUAACUCUUUUUAAAAACAUAAGGGUUUUGAAAACUUAAUAUAGUUAUAGAGAAAUUGGGUUUGAGUUAUUUUGGUUU
RNAcentral lists this small RNA (270 nucleotides) under Arabidopsis thaliana (thale cress). RNAcentral describes it as "ATSL047250". Lineage: Eukaryota; Viridiplantae; Streptophyta; Magnoliopsida; Brassicales; Brassicaceae. The record is from RNAcentral.